Long non-coding RNA from Gopherus flavomarginatus (Mexican gopher tortoise), 701 nucleotides. RefSeq lists it as uncharacterized. Lineage: Eukaryota; Metazoa; Chordata; Testudines; Testudinidae. The record is from RefSeq and is a predicted model, not a curated record. The transcript is spliced from 3 exons.
UCUGGCACAGCCCGGGGGCGGGGCAGCUCCUGGGGGCGGGGCUCUGGCUCAGCUCAGGGGCGGGGCAGCUCCUGGGGGCGGGGCUCUGGCACAUUGUGACGCGGAGCCCGGGCUGAACAGCUGCUUCCUGGUUCUCCACGUGCUGCCAGCAGCGCUGGAGCUGCCCGAGCCGGAGCGGAGCCGCUGUUCUCAGCUGCAGCCAGGAUCUGCCCCCGGCCCCGCUGGGAUCCAGGCCAGAGAAUAACAUCCAUGUUUCGCUGCAGAUCAUCUCGUCCUCCCAGGGGCAAGGAAAUGGCUGCAAUGGAGCUGGCUCAGGGGCCGGUGACCUUCGAGGAGGUGUCUGUGUAUUUCUCCAGGGAAGAGGGGACUCUGCUGGACCCCACUCAGAGAGCCCUCUACAGAGAUGUCAUGCAGGGGAACUAUGAGACGAUGGUCUUGCUGGGUAAGGAUUCCUGUCCCUUCUGUUCUUGGAAGGGGAAAUGAAGAGUGAAGGUUCAUGCCACCCCCACAAUGCCAUCUGUACCCUGUCCUGUUUCAGCAUCACCCCAAUAGGCCAGUAACAUACAUACUACCAGAGACCCUCCUCUGCUGCAGAACACUUUGGGAACAGAGCACAGGAGCAGCAUCACACAAUGUCAAAUAUCUCCUCUUUACUCAAGUAAAACUGGGGUUAGGUCCAGCAUAAUGAACAGAAGCUUCCU